This 253-nucleotide ribosomal RNA is filed under the name uncultured bacterium. RNAcentral describes it as "partial 16S ribosomal RNA". It matches the Rfam family "Bacterial small subunit ribosomal RNA", at positions 524 to 776 of the family's 1533-position model. The record is from RNAcentral.
UACGAAUGGAGCGAGCGUUGUUCGGAAUCACUGGGCGUAAAGCGUGCGCAGGCGGUUAUGAAAGUCAGAUGUGAAAGCCCAGGGCUUAACCCUGGAAUUGCAUUUGAAACUCCAUGACUAGAGUACUGGAGGGGUUGGCGGAAUUUCGAGUGUAGCAGUGAAAUGCGUAGAUAUUCGAAGGAACACCGAUGGCGUAGGCAGCCAACUGGACAGUAACUGACGCUCAUGCACGAAAGCGUGGGGAUCAAACAGG